RNAcentral lists this small RNA (200 nucleotides) under Kocuria rhizophila. Its description in RNAcentral is "c-di-AMP sequence". It matches the Rfam family "c-di-AMP riboswitch aptamer (ydaO/yuaA leader)". From Rfam's summary of the family: This family represents a conserved RNA structure found upstream of the ydaO and yuaA genes in Bacillus subtilis and related genes in other bacteria. The ydaO/yuaA element is thought to act as a genetic "off" switch for the ydaO and yuaA genes in its native state. Lineage: Bacteria; Bacillati; Actinomycetota; Actinomycetes; Micrococcales; Micrococcaceae. The record is from RNAcentral.
CGAACGCGAUCGCCGAGUUCUGCCAUGCGCACCGGGACCCGUACACAGAACAUCCGCAUGGCAGAAGCGGGGGAACCACUUCCGGAUUCGUGACAGCCCGUCGAAUCCUAGGGGUCAAGCCGGCACGGCUCACCAGCACGUGCGGCCGGAUGUCUCCCAUCCGAACCCGACAGCUCACCCCGCAGGCGUAGGGAGGAACA